This 69-nucleotide transfer RNA is filed under the name Ictidomys tridecemlineatus (thirteen-lined ground squirrel). RNAcentral's name for it is "Spermophilus tridecemlineatus (thirteen-lined ground squirrel) tRNA". It matches the Rfam family "tRNA". Rfam says of the family: Transfer RNA (tRNA) molecules are approximately 80 nucleotides in length. Their secondary structure includes four short double-helical elements and three loops (D, anti-codon, and T loops). Lineage: Eukaryota; Metazoa; Chordata; Mammalia; Rodentia; Sciuridae. The record is from Rfam by way of RNAcentral.
GGGGUUGUGGCUCAGCGGUAGAGCGCUUGCCUCACGUGUGUGAGGCUCUGAGUUCGAUCCUCAGCACCA